CUCAGCUGGAGGAGCUGCUGCCCCCAAAGCAGAACUCCGGCUGUCCAUCUCAGGACGCGUGCCUCGCUGAAAUGAGCCGAGGUGUAGAGUACCCAGGAACCGAUUUACAUUUGUCUCACCUUAUUUUCUGGUUACUUUUAGGACCGUUAAGAUCCCAGAUUCUGCAGAUGGGCUUGGUUUCCAGAUCAGAGGCUUUGGUCCUUCAGUUGUACAUGCUGUGGGAAGAGGUGAGACGUCCUUUGUCACUGCGUGGGAAGUGCUUCAGCCACUCAGCCCUUGCUUUAGUCCUUUGGCCUGUCCCCUAUCCCUGUCCUCAAAGUGCUAGCAAUGGUUCCCUUUCACUGACAUAACUCUCGCAAAGGAUAUUCUGGAAAUAAUACAUCAAAAUAAAACCUCAAAACUUCAACUUGUGUGCCCUGGCAUACUUCUACAUGUCUAGCACUUAGGAAAGCCAAGGCAGGAAGGACUGAUUCAAAUUCAAGGCUAGCUCAGGCAAGAGUGAGACCUUUCUCAAAAACAAAACGAAACAAAA
RNAcentral lists this long non-coding RNA (532 nucleotides) under Rattus norvegicus (Norway rat). Its description in RNAcentral is "long non-coding RNA NONRATT022991". Lineage: Eukaryota; Metazoa; Chordata; Mammalia; Rodentia; Muridae. The record is from RNAcentral.